GACGAACGCUGGCGGCGUGCUUAACACAUGCAAGUCGAACGGACAGGCCCUGCUUGCCGGGUACUCGAGUGGCGAACGGGUGAGUAACACGUGGGUGAUCUGCCCUGCUCUUCGGGUUAAGCCUGGGCAACUGGGUCUAAUACCUGAUAGGUGACAUUUUUAGUGUGAUGGUUGGAAAGUUUUGUCGGUGUAGGAUGAGCUCGCAGCCUAUCAGCUUGUUGGUGGGGUAAUGGCCUACCAAGGCGGCGACGGGUAGCCGGACUGCGAGGGUGGACGGCGACACAGGGACCGAGGUGCGGCCCAGAUUCCGACGGGAGGCAGAAGGGGGGAAGACUGAAGAAUCGGCGCAAGCCUGAUGCAGCGAGGCCGCGUGGGGGAUGACGGCCUUCGGGUUGAAAACCACUUUCGCAAGGAACGAAGCUUUUUGUGACGGUACCUAGAUAAAAAGCACCGGCUAACUACGUG
This 465-nucleotide ribosomal RNA is filed under the name uncultured bacterium. RNAcentral's name for it is "partial 16S ribosomal RNA". It matches the Rfam family "Bacterial small subunit ribosomal RNA", at positions 28 to 507 of the family's 1533-position model. The record is from RNAcentral.